AGAGUUUGAUCCUGGCUCAGAUUGAACGCUAGCGGGAUGCUUUACACAUGCAAGUCGAACGGCAGCACGAGAGAGCUUGCUCUCUUGGUGGCGAGUGGCGGACGGGUGAGUAAUAUAUCGGAACGUGCCCAGUAGCGGGGGAUAACUACUCGAAAGAGUGGCUAAUACCGCAUACGCCCUACGGGGGAAAGGGGGGGAUCGCAAGACCUCUCACUAUUGGAGCGGCCGAUAUCGGAUUAGCUAGUUGGUGGGGUAAAGGCUCACCAAGGCAACGAUCCGUAGCUGGUUUGAGAGGACGACCAGCCACACUGGGACUGAGACACGGCCCAGACUCCUACGGGAGGCAGCAGUGGGGAAUUUUGGACAAUGGGGGAAACCCUGAUCCAGCCAUCCCGCGUGUAUGAUGAAGGCCUUCGGGUUGUAAAGUACUUUUGGCAGAGAAGAAAAGGCAUCCCCUAAUACGGGAUGCUGCUGACGGUAUCUGCAGAAUAAGCACCGGCUAACUACGUGCCAGCAGCCGCGGUAAUACGUAGGGUGCAAGCGUUAAUCGGAAUUACUGGGCGUAAAGCGUGUGUAGGCGGUUCGGAAAGAAAGAUGUGAAAUCCCAGGGCUCAACCUUGGAACUGCAUUUUUAACUGCCGAGCUAGAGUAUGUCAGAGGGGGGUAGAAUUCCACGUGUAGCAGUGAAAUGCGUAGAUAUGUGGAGGAAUACCGAUGGCGAAGGCAGCCCCCUGGGAUAAUACUGACGCUCAGACACGAAAGCGUGGGGAGCAAACAGGAUUAGAUACCCUGGUAGUCCACGCCCUAAACGAUGUCAACUAGCUGUUGGGGCCGUUAGGCCUUAGUAGCGCAGCUAACGCGUGAAGUUGACCGCCUGGGGAGUACGGUCGCAAGAUUAAAACUCAAAGGAAUUGACGGGGACCCGCACAAGCGGUGGAUGAUGUGGAUUAAUUCGAUGCAACGCGAAAAACCUUACCUACCCUUGACAUGUCUGGAAUGCCGAAGAGAUUUGGCAGUGCUCGCAAGAGAACCGGAACACAGGUGCUGCAUGGCUGUCGUCAGCUCGUGUCGUGAGAUGUUGGGUUAAGUCCCGCAACGAGCGCAACCCUUGUCAUUAGUUGCUACGCAAGAGCACUCUAAUGAGACUGCCGGUGACAAACCGGAGGAAGGUGGGGAUGACGUCAAGUCCUCAUGGCCCUUAUGGGUAGGGCUUCACACGUCAUACAAUGGUCGGGACAGAGGGUCGCCAACCCGCGAGGGGGAGCCAAUCUCAGAAACCCGAUCGUAGUCCGGAUCGCAGUCUGCAACUCGACUGCGUGAAGUCGGAAUCGCUAGUAAUCGCGGAUCAGAAUGUCGCGGUGAAUACGUUCCCGGGUCUUGUACACACCGCCCGUCACACCAUGGGAGUGGGUUUCACCAGAAGUAGGUAGCCUAACCGCAAGGAGGGCGCUUACCACGGUGGGAUUCAUGACUGGGGUGAAGUCGUAACAAGGUAACCGUA
Molecule: ribosomal RNA, 1501 nt
Filed under: uncultured bacterium
Lineage: Bacteria
Description: bacterial SSU rRNA
Rfam family: Bacterial small subunit ribosomal RNA
Source: RNAcentral